UAAUGUAUCUGUCAAACUGAGAGACACAUUGUGUGUGUGUGAUUGGACUGACAGCAGAAACCAGACCUGAAUUAAAGUCAACAUUCAGAGACUCAGUCUUUCUAAGCAUCCUCAGAGCUGCUUGCUAUUCAUCUCUGCUGACAGUUAAAGAAACCAUGUUUGCAGACUAAACAGAUCCGGCAAAAGAAAUUCUUGUAUCACGUCUUGUUUUCCAGAAAAGAAGCCUCCCUGUUCAGUAGACGUUUGCAAACUAACGUCUUCCACAAGUUUCACUCAAAAGCACUUCAAAAACACUGCUUUGUAUCCAGGAUGGGUGGAACAUGAUUUGUGUGGUGGUGACUGAAGCCUCAGUGUCAUUUCCAAGUUGAAGGUAGAGGAAGAGUCACCAAGAGAAGACUUAAGAGGAGAUGGAGAGAUUCAGGGAGGAGCUGAGCUGUUACUGAACUAUAGAAGAGAGAGAAACUUCAAACCACAAACAUUACCUUCAUUCAACAUGCUGUCACUGGACUAUUAUGGACUUUCUCUGAUGGUUGUCACUCUUCUAACAGGUGUCAGCUGUGAAGAUCUCAGUCCAGUCAAAGAUGAACAGUCCAGUUUAGAAGACAGCUCUGUUACUCUGUCCUACAGAUACAGCAAGAAAGCUGCAGCUGAUGAUUACUUCUUCUGGUAUCGACAAGAUCCAGGAAAGCCACCAGAGCUCCUCACCUCUCACUCAGGAACAGGAGGAAUAUUAAUGAGUCCAAAGUCUGGACUGUCUGUUACAGUGAGUGAGGAAAACACUCACAUGAAUGUUCAGAUCUCCUCUGCUGCAGUGACAGACUCUGCUCUGUACUACUGUGCUGUGAGGCCCACAGUGACAGCAAACCCACAGUCUCUGUACAAAAACACAAGCUGACACACUGACAAGCUGCUGGAAGCCUUUUUUCCACACUGUUGGACUCAACUUUUUACCUCCACUAGAGGGCGACAUUAUCAAGUAGGCGGUGCACUACUUCUGCACUGUGUUCAACCAUUGUGUCAAUAAUAAGUGCUGCUGUGAAGAGAACAAUUCUCACACUGAAUGUUGAACAGCAGCUGCUUUCUCCUGUUGCUUUAAACCUUGUUGUACAGAUGGAACUUUGGCUGUGGAUUAUUCUUGCUGCUCUUUUCUUUGGUGAGACACAAAGAACAACAUGUUUUUAUUCUCUUCUAAAGACUGACGCAAACUGGAGUUCAGAGCAGAAAUCUGUUUCUGUCCACACAGUAACUCU
Scatophagus argus is the source of this 1250-nucleotide non-coding RNA. Lineage: Eukaryota; Metazoa; Chordata; Actinopteri; Scatophagidae. The record is from the annotation of a RefSeq genome assembly.